UACGUAUGGUGCAAGCGUUAUCCGGAUUUACUGGGUGUAAAGGGGGCGCAGACGGCAGCGCAAGCCAGGAGUGAAAGCCCGGGGCCCAACCCCGGGACUGCUCUUGGAACUGCGCGGCUGGAGUGCAGGAGGGGCAGGCGGAAUUCCUGGUGUAGCGGUGAAAUGCGUAGAUAUCAGGAGGAACACCGGUGGCGAAGGCGGCCUGCUGGACUGCGACUGACGUUGAGGCCCGAAAGCGUGGGGAGCAAACAGG
This 253-nucleotide ribosomal RNA is filed under the name uncultured bacterium. RNAcentral's name for it is "partial 16S ribosomal RNA". It matches the Rfam family "Bacterial small subunit ribosomal RNA", at positions 524 to 776 of the family's 1533-position model. The record is from RNAcentral.